UCCACAACUCCUAACUACAUCAUUGCCUA
This 29-nucleotide non-coding RNA is filed under the name Mus musculus (house mouse). Lineage: Eukaryota; Metazoa; Chordata; Mammalia; Rodentia; Muridae. The record is from RNAcentral.